UACCUGGUUGAUCCUGCCAGUAAUCAUAUGCUUGUCUCAAAGAUUAAGCCAUGCAUGUCUAAGUACAUGCCGAAAUAAGGCGAAACCGCGAAUGGCUCAUUAAAUCAGUUAUGGUUCCUUAGAUCGUUUCUUCCUACUUGGAUAACUGUGGCAAUUCUAGAGCUAAUACAUGCAGUGAGCCUGAAGCCCUUUGGGCGACGGGUGCUUUUAUUAGACCAAGAUCGAUCGGGUUUCGGCCCGUAUUGUGUGGUGACUCUGGAUAACUUUGUGCUGAUCGCAUGGCCACGAGCCGGCGACGUUUCUUUCAAGUGUCUGCCUUAUCAACUUUCGAUGGUAGGUUACUUGCUUACCAUGGUUGAUCUGUCUCGCGUGUGUCAGGGUUCGAUUCCGGAGAGGGAGCCUGAGAAACGGCUACCACAUCCAAGGAAGGCAGCAGGCGCGCAAAUUACCCCACUCCCGGCACGGGGAGGUAGUGACGAAAAAUAACAAUACGGGACUCUUUUGAGGCCCCGUAAUUGAAAUGAGUACACUCUAAAUCCUUUAACGAGGAUCAAUUGGAGGGCAAGUCUGGUGCCAGCAGCCCGCGGUAAUUCCAGCUCCAAUAGCGUAUACUAAAGCUGCUGCGGUUAAAAAGCUCGUAGUUGGAUCUCAGUUCCAGACGAGUAGUGCAUCUACCCGAUGCGACGGCUCGGACCUGAACAUCAUGCCGGUCCUUUCUUGGUGCACUUCAUUGUGUGCCUCGAGAAGGCCGGUGCUUUUACUUUGAAAAAAUUAGAGUGCUCAACGCAGGCGAGUCGCCUGAAUAAACUUGCAUGGAAUAAUAGAACAAGACCUCGUUUCUGUUCUGUUGGUUUUUGGAAUACGAGGUAAUGAUUAAGAGGGACAGACGGGGGCAUUCGUAUUGCGGCGCUAGAGGUGAAAUUCUUGGACCGUCGCAAGACGAACUACUGCGAAAGCAUUUGCCAAGAAUGUUUUCUUUGAUCAAGAACGAAAGUCAGAGGUUCGAAGGCGAUCAGAUACCGCCCUAGUUCUGACCAUAAACGAUGCCAACCAGCGAUCCGCCUGAGUUACUCAAAUGACUCGGCGGGCAGCUUCCGGGAAACCAAAGUGUUUGGGUUCCGGGGGAAGUAUGGUUGCAAAGCUGAAACUUAAAGGAAUUGACGGAAGGGCACCACCAGGAGUGGAGCCUGCGGCUUAAUUUGACUCAACACGGGAAAACUUACCCGGCCCGGACACUGGGAGGAUUGACAGAUUGAGAGCUCUUUCUUGAUUCGGUGGAUGGUGUGCAUGGCCGUUCUUAGUUGGUGGAGCGAUUGGUCUGGUUAAUUCCGAUAACGAACGAGACUCUAGCCUAUUAAAUAGGUGCGGGGUUCCCAGCACCUUACAACCUUCUUAGAGGGACAAGCGGCUCCUAGCCGCACGAAACAGAGCAAUAACAGGUCUGUGAUGCCCUUAGAUGUCCGGGGCCGCACGCGCGCUACACUGAAGGAAGCAGCGUGUCUUUAUCCCUGUCUGAAAAGACUGGGUAACCCGUGGAACUUCUUCGUGAUUGGGAUAGGGGCUUGCAAUUGUUCCCCUUGAACGAGGAAUUCCCAGUAAGCGCGAGUCAUAAGCUCGCGUUGAUCUACGUCCCUGCCCUUUGUACACAACCGCCCGUCGCUACUACCGAUUGAAUGAUUUAGUGAGGUCUUCGGACCGAUGUCCGGCGCGGCCUUUCGGUUGCGCCGGUCUGUUGGAAAGAUGACCAAACUUGAUCAUUUAGAGGAAGUAAAAGUCGUAACAAGGUUUCCGUAGGUGAACCUGCGGAAGGAUCAUUA
This 1817-nucleotide ribosomal RNA is filed under the name Dermacentor andersoni. RNAcentral's name for it is "small subunit ribosomal RNA". It matches the Rfam family "Eukaryotic small subunit ribosomal RNA". Lineage: Eukaryota; Metazoa; Arthropoda; Arachnida; Ixodida; Ixodidae. The record is from RNAcentral.